This 440-nucleotide ribosomal RNA is filed under the name uncultured bacterium. RNAcentral describes it as "partial 16S ribosomal RNA". It matches the Rfam family "Bacterial small subunit ribosomal RNA", at positions 338 to 795 of the family's 1533-position model. The record is from RNAcentral.
CCUAUGGGUGGCAGCAGUGGGGAAUAUUGCACAAUGGGGGAAACCCUGAUGCAGCAACGCCGCGUGAGUGCAGAAGUAUUUCGGGAUGUAAAGCUCUAUCAGCAGGGAAGAAAAUGACGGUACCUGAGUAAGAAGCCCCGGCUAACUACGUGACAGCAGCCGCGGUAAUAAGUAGGGGGCAAGCGUUAACCGGCUUUACGGGGUGUAAAGGGAGCGCAGGAGGCAGUGCAAGUCUGGAGUGAAAGCCCGGGGCCUAACCCCGGAACUGCUCUGGAAACUGUGCGGCUAGAGUACUGGGGGGGCAGGCGGACUUCCUAUUGUAGCGGUGAAAUGCGUAGAUAUUAGGAGGAACACCAGUGGCGAAGGCGGCCUGCUGGACAGUAACUGACGUUGAGGCUCGAAAGCGUGGGGAGCAAACAGGAUUAGAUACCCCAGUAGUC